RNAcentral lists this ribosomal RNA (625 nucleotides) under uncultured Methanomicrobiales archaeon. RNAcentral's name for it is "partial 16S ribosomal RNA". It matches the Rfam family "Archaeal small subunit ribosomal RNA", at positions 333 to 1319 of the family's 1478-position model. Lineage: Archaea; Methanobacteriati; Methanobacteriota; Methanomicrobia; Methanomicrobiales. The record is from RNAcentral.
CAAUAUUCUUUAACACAAUCGCACGAAAGCGAGAUGAGCGCACGCCGAGUGCGCAUACAAGGAACACCUCUUUUCUGCUGCAAAAUAGUUGGGGAAAAAGAAACGGGCAAGACCGGUGCCAGCCGCCGCGGUAAUACCGGCGGCUCGGGGGGGGGCCAUAAACUUGGGCUUAAAGCGUCCGUAGUUGGUUUGUUAAGUCUCUUGGGAAAUCCGCCGGCUCAACCGACGGGGGUUUAAAAAAUAUUUUUUUCCUAGGGACGGGGGGAGGUGAAAGGUACUCCGGGGGUAGGAGUGAAAUCUUGUAUUCCCCGGGGGCCCACCGAUGGGGGAGGUUUCUCACCUGAACGGUUCCGACAAUGAGGAACGAAAGCUGUGGAAGCAAACCGAAUUAGAUACCCGGGUGGUCCCACCCGUAAACUUUGCGGGUUAGGUGUACUGGGGACACCAAGUCAUUGGGGGGCCGAGGGAAAACCGGGAAACUUGCCGCUGGGAAAGUACGGCCGCAAGGUUAAAUUUAAAGGAAUUGGGGGGGGGAAAGGGCAAAUUCUUUUAAACCUGCGGAACUAGUCCCUUUAGGGAGGGUUUAUCUGAAGCUUGCGUUAUUCUUGGCCUAACUUGUUCCCUG